Molecule: ribosomal RNA, 839 nt
Filed under: uncultured Bacteroidota bacterium
Lineage: Bacteria; Pseudomonadati; Bacteroidota
Description: bacterial SSU rRNA
Rfam family: Bacterial small subunit ribosomal RNA
Source: RNAcentral
GAUGAACGCUAGCUACAGGCUACACAUGCAAGUCGAGGGGAAACGGCAUUAAGUGCUUGCACUUUUUGGACGUCGACCGGCGCACGGGUGAGUAACGCGUAUCCAACCUUCCCAUGACUAAGGGAUAACCUGCCGAAAGGCAGACUAAUACCUUAUGGUCUUCACUGACGGCAUCAGAUGUGAAGUAAAGAUUUAUCGGCAAUGGAUGGGGAUGCGUCUGAUUAGUUAGUUGGCGGGGUAACGGCCCACCAAGGCAACGAUCAGUAGGGGUUCUGAGAGGAAGGUCCCCCACAUUGGAACUGAGACACGGUCCAAACUCCUACGGGAGGCAGCAGUGAGGAAUAUUGGUCAAUGGGCGAGAGCCUGAACCAGCCAAGUAGCGUGCAGGAUGACGGCCCUAUGGGUUGUAAACUGCUUUUGUAUGGGGAUAAAGUCAAUCACGUGUGAUUGUUUGCAGGUACCAUACGAAUAAGGACCGGCUAAUUCCGUGCCAGCAGCCGCGGUAAUACGGAAGGUCCGGGCGUUAUCCGGAUUUAUUGGGUUUAAAGGGAGCGUAGGCUGGAGAUUAAGUGUGUUGUGAAAUGUAGACGCUCAACGUCUGACUUGCAGCGCAUACUGGUUUCCUUGAGUACGCACAACGUUGGCGGAAUUCGUCGUGUAGCGGUGAAAUGCUUAGAUAUGACGAAGAACUCCGAUCGCGAAGGCAGCUGACGGGAGCGCAACUGACGCUGAAGCUCGAAGGUGCGGGUAUCGAACAGGAUUAGAUACCCUGGUAGUCCGCACAGUAAACGAUGGAUGCCCGCUGUUGGUACCUGGUAUCAGCGGCUAAGCGAAAGCAU